RNAcentral lists this long non-coding RNA (215 nucleotides) under Elaeis guineensis (African oil palm). RNAcentral describes it as "long non-coding RNA (EGUI_LNC058759)". The record is from RNAcentral. Lineage: Eukaryota; Viridiplantae; Streptophyta; Magnoliopsida; Arecales; Arecaceae.
GCUCUCUUGCCUCGGCCUGAACCUCCUCAGGUGGUGGGACUAUCGAUGUUGUUUCGACAGUUUUUCUUGCCGCCCUUUCCUCGGACGAUAUAGCAGGGAGUACUGUCAGAGCCGACAGUGCUCGAACUGGUUCAGGAAUCGAUUCCAAACGGGCAUUGGGUUCCAUAGCCGAUGUUGAAACACCGAUUGGAGCUGGUGCUUGAUGCCUCUUCGGC